Molecule: ribosomal RNA, 301 nt
Filed under: uncultured bacterium
Lineage: Bacteria
Description: partial 16S ribosomal RNA
Rfam family: Bacterial small subunit ribosomal RNA
Source: RNAcentral
CAGCCGCCACGGUAAAACGUAGGUGGCAAGCGUUGUCCGGAAUUAUUGGGCGUAAAGGGCUCGCAGGCGGUUUCUUAAGUCUGAUGUGAAAGCCCCCGGCUCAACCGGGGAGGGUCAUUGGAAACUGGGGAACUUGAGUGCAGAAGAGGAGAGUGGAAUUCCACGUGUAGCGGUGAAAUGCGUAGAGAUGUGGAGGAACACCAGUGGCGAAGGCGACUCUCUGGUCUGUAACUGACGCUGAGGAGCGAAAGCGUGGGGAGCGAACAGGAUUAGAUACCCCGGUAGUCCCUGUCUCUUAUAC